Molecule: ribosomal RNA, 507 nt
Filed under: Fusarium sp. DY31-W1304-MS16
Lineage: Eukaryota; Fungi; Ascomycota; Sordariomycetes; Hypocreales; Nectriaceae
Description: eukaryotic LSU rRNA
Rfam family: 5.8S ribosomal RNA (bases 140-292)
Source: RNAcentral
GUUUAUUUUACCUUGUUGCUUCGGCGGGCCCGCCUUAACUGGCCGCCGGGGGGCUUACGCCCCCGGGCCCGCGCCCGCCGAAGACACCCUCGAACUCUGUCUGAAGAUUGUAGUCUGAGUGAAAAUAUAAAUUAUUUAAAACUUUCAACAACGGAUCUCUUGGUUCCGGCAUCGAUGAAGAACGCAGCGAAAUGCGAUACGUAAUGUGAAUUGCAAAUUCAGUGAAUCAUCGAGUCUUUGAACGCACAUUGCGCCCCCUGGUAUUCCGGGGGGCAUGCCUGUCCGAGCGUCAUUUCUGCCCUCAAGCACGGCUUGUGUGUUGGGCCCCGUCCUCCGAUCCCGGGGGACGGGCCCGAAAGGCAGCGGCGGCACCGCGUCCGGUCCUCGAGCGUAUGGGGCUUUGUCACCCGCUCUGUAGGCCCGGCCGGCGCUUGCCGAUCAACCCAAAUUUUUAUCCAGGUUGACCUCGGAUCAGGUAGGGAUACCCGCUGAACUUAAGCAUAUCAA